RNAcentral lists this ribosomal RNA (3275 nucleotides) under Durio zibethinus. RNAcentral describes it as "eukaryotic LSU rRNA". It matches the Rfam family "Eukaryotic large subunit ribosomal RNA". Lineage: Eukaryota; Viridiplantae; Streptophyta; Magnoliopsida; Malvales; Malvaceae. The record is from RNAcentral.
ACUCUAGGUCAGGCAGGAUCAUCCACUGAGUUUAAGCAUAUCAAUAAGUGGAGGAAAAGAAACUUACCAGGAUUCCCUUACUAACGGCGAGCGAACUGGGAAGAGCCCAGCUUGAGAAUCAGGUGCCUCCGGCAUCCGAAUUGUAGUCUGAAGAAGCAUCCUCAACGGCAGACCGGGCCUAAGUCCCCUGGAAAGGGGCGUCAGAGAGGGUGAAAGCCCCGUUGUGCCCAGACCCUGUCGCACUAUCUGCGAGUCGGGUUGUUCAGGAAUGCAGCCCCAAUCGGGUGAUAAAUUUCAUCCAAGGCUGAAUACGGGCAAAAGACCCAUAGGGAAUAAAUACCACUAGGGAAAGAUGAAAAGGACUUUGGAAAGAGAGUCAAAGAGUGCUUGAAAUUGUCAGGAGGGAAGUGGAUGGGGGCCGACGAUGCACCCCGAUCGGAUGUGGAACGACAAGAGUCGAUCCCUCGAUCGACUUGGGGCGUGGACCGACGCGGGUCACGAUGGUGACCCAAGCUCAGGCUUUCGAUGUGCCCAUGAAGAUGUCAUCACUGCGAUCGUGGAAUGCAGCACGCACCAUCUCAGCAUGCCCUGGCACCAGCAUGCUCCAAGCGUAGGCCUGCAGGCUCCUCAUCUGGCCCGUCUUGAAACACGGACCAAGGAGUCUGACAUACGUGUGAGUCAACAGGCCAGAAAACCCAUAGGUGCAAGAAAGCUGAUUUGCGAGAUCCUUCGUGGGUGCACCACCAACCGACCUUGAUCCUCUGAGAAGGGUUCGAGUGUGACCAUGCCCGUCGGGACCCGAAAGAUGGUGAACUAUGCCUUAGCGGGGUGAAUCCAAAGGAAACUUUGGUGGAGGCCCGUAGCGAUACUGACGUGCAAAUUGUUCGUCUGACUUGGGUAUAGGGGUGAAAGACUAAUCGAACCAUCUAGUAGCUGGUUCCCUCCGAAGUUUCCCUCAGGAUAGCUGGAGCCCCCGUCGAGUUCUAUCAGGUAAAGCCAAUGAUUAGAGGCAUCGGGGGCUCAAUGCCCUCGACCUAUUCUCAAACUUUAAAUAGGUAAGACGGCGCGACUACUCCAUUGAGCCGUGCCAUGGAAUCGAGAGCUCCAAGUGGGCCAUUUUUGGUAAGCAAAACUGGCAAUAUGGGAUGAACCGAAAGCUGGAUUACGGUGCCCAACUGCGCGCUAACCCAGAACCCACAAAGGGUGUUGGUAGAUUAAGACAGCAGGACGGUGGUCAUGGAAGUCAAAAUCUUCUAAAGAGUGUGUAACAACUCACCUGCCAAAUCAACUAGCCCCAAAAAUGGAUGGCACUUAAGCGCGCGACCUAUACCCAACCGUCAGGGCAAGGGCCAAGCCCCGAUGAGUAAGAGGGUGCGGUGAUCAUCGUAAAACCCAAGGCGCGAGCGCGGGCGGAGAGGCCGUCGGUGCAGAUCUUGGUGGUAGUAGCAAAUAUUCAAAUGAGAACUUUGAAGGCCGAAGAGAGGAAAGGUUCCAUGUGAACGGCACUUGCAGAUGGGUUAGUCGAUCCUAAGAGACGGGGAAAGCCCGUCCAACAACACGUCUCGUACGAGCUUCGAAAGGGAAACGGGUUAAAAUUCUUGAACCGGGACAUGACAGCUGACGGCAACAUUAGGGAGUCCAAAGACAUCGAUGGGGGCCUCGAGAAGAGUUAUCUUUUCUGUUUAACGGCCUGCCCACCCUAGAAACAGCUCAGCCAGAGGUAGGGUCCAGCGGUCAGAAGAGCAUCGCACGACACGUGGUAUCUGGUGCCCUUCCGGAGCCCUUGAAAAUCUGGAGGACUGAGUGCCGUUCAUGCCCGAUCGUAGUCAUAACCGCAUUAGGUCUCCAAGGUGAAUAGCCUCUGGUCGAUGGAACAAUGUAGGCAAGGGAAGUCGGUAAAAUGGAUCCGUAACCUCAAGAAAAAGAUAGGCUUUGAGGGCUGGGCACGGAGGUCCCAGUCUUGAACCUAUCGGUUAUUGAUGCACUGCUUGAGCUAUUCCCCAGUGAGAGCGAGUCACUGCGUACCAGCCGGGGGACGGACUGGGAACGGCUCCCUCGGGGGCCUUCUCUGGACGACGAACAGUCGACUCAAAACUGGUACGAACAAAGGGAAUCCGACUAUUUAAUUAAAACAAAGCAUUGCGAUGGUCCUUGUGGAUGCUCACGCAAUGUGAUUUCUGCCCAGUGCUCUGAAUGUUAAAGUGAAGAAAUUCAACCAAGCGCGGGUAAACGGCGGGAGUAACUAUGACUCUCUUAAGGUAGCCAAAUGCCUCGUCAUCUAAUUAGUGACGUGCAUGAAUGGAUUAACGAGAUUCCCACUGUCCCUGUCUACUAUCCAGCAAAACCACAGUCAAAGGAACGGGCUUGGCAGAAUCAGCGGGGAAAAAAGACCCUGUUGAGCUUGACUGUAGUCUGACUUUGUGAAAUGACUUAAGAGGUGUAGGAUAAGUGGGAGCUCCCGAGCGAAAUUGAAAUACCACUACUUUUAACGUUAUUUUACUUAUUCCAUGAAUCGGAGGCAGGGCACGACCCCUUCUUUUGGACCCAAGGCCGACCUUGGCCGAUUGAUCUGGGUGAAAGACAUUGUCAGGUGGAGAGUUUGGCUGGGGUGGCACAUCUGUUAAAAGAUAACGCAGGUGUCCUAAGAUGAGCUCAAUGAGAACAAAAAUCUCGUGUGGAACAAAAGGGUAAAAGCUCAUUUGAUUCUGAUUUCCAGUACGAAUACGAACCGUGAAAGCGUGGCCUAUCGAUCCUUUAAACUUUUAGGAUUUGAAGCUAGAGGUGUCAAAAAAGUUACCACAGGGAUAAGUCGCUUGUGGUAGCCAAGCGUUCAUAACGACGUUGCAUUUUGAUCCUUCGAUGUCGGCUCUUCCUAUCAUUGUGAAGCAGAAUUCACCAAGUGUUGGAUUGUUCACCCACCAAUAAGGAACGUGAGCUGGGUUUAGACCAUCGUGAGACAGGUUAGUUUUACCCUACUGAUGGUGGUGUUGUGAUAGUAAUUCAACCUAGUACGAGAGGAACCGUUGAUUCGCACAAUUGGUCAUCACGCUUGGUUGAAAAGCCAGUGGCGUGAAGCUACUAUGCACUAGAUUAUGACUGAAUGCCUCUAAGUUAGAAUCCAGUCUAGAAGUGACACGUGCACCCGUCGCCCGAUUGUCGACCCAUAAUAAGGGCCCAUGGCCCCAAGGGGCACGUGUCGUAGAUGCAGCCCCCGCAGCAGAUGAGCCGUACGGGCCUCUUUGGAGCUCAAUUCUCAUCGAGCGAUAGGUAGAAUC